RNAcentral lists this long non-coding RNA (954 nucleotides) under Marmota monax (woodchuck). The record is from RNAcentral. Lineage: Eukaryota; Metazoa; Chordata; Mammalia; Rodentia; Sciuridae.
CCACCCCAGUCUGUCAUCCCCCAGAGUUGCCACCUAGCCACUGGACACGCAGUGUCCACAGGGGGUGCCCACCUGAGCUGCCAACCAAAUGGGUGACGGGCAGGCCCUGGAAGGGUGGGGCAUGUGCCAGGUGGGGCUCAGGUGACCCUGAGUGUGGGGUCAGGAGUCGCUGCAAGGACUACAGAGGUGGCCACAGGGGAACCCUCUUUCUCCACCAGUGUGGCCACUUCCUGUCCUACAGCUGGCCCCCUGGACAUCAGGCCCCAGCCUCAGCAGGUGACCAUCCCAGGUACCAGAGACCCUCAGCCCUUCGGCAUCAAGCCAGCAUCCGUUCCUCUGCAGGGUCUCUGUUGGCUCCCGUGAGGGCCCCAGAAGGGCUCGUGGGAUCAGGGCCCUGAGGGGGCCUGUGCCUGUUCAUCCCCACCCUCCAUCUGUGACCUCAGGCCCUCCUUCAGCCCCUGGACUUGGUCAGGCUCAGGGACUACACGGGACAGGGUCUGAGGGCUGUCCUUUCCUAACAUCCCCGAGGUCAUGGCUUGGUUGGGCACUUACAAAGUGCCAGGGACCCAAGAUCCCACCGUGCACACAGGGCCACAGUGGACACCCUCCAGGGAAGCCUGGGCCUCCUCCCCAGGGUCAGGGUGGGUGCAGGGCCUCCCCUUGGCAGGAUUCCUGGGCCAGGGCCCAGCCUGCUGCAGCCCUUCCCUUCCAGAGUCCCUCAGCUCCCAGGUCACCUCCACACCCGCCCUUGUACUCCCUGGGCCUGGAACGACCCCCCUCUUCCACACACCCAUCCAGUAAUAUGAGCUUCUCUAUGAACCAGGCACUGGACUCGGCAAGGGACAGUUUUUAGGCCCUGCCCCUUCGGGGCACGCUUCCCCUGGGGACAGUCAUUGGAGCACAUUUAUGUCAUUGCUGCCACAUCCUCAAUCUCGGGCGAGCCCUCUUGCAGGU